AUGAGGAAGUCCGGUGAGAAUCCGGCGCGGUCCCGCCACUGUCACCGGGGAGCGCUCCUCCAUCAAGGGCCACGGUCCGCGUCCGGGACGCGGGUUCCGUACGGACUGGAAGGCCGGGGGAAGCGCCGAUCCGGGGAGCCAGGAGACUC
This 149-nucleotide non-coding RNA is filed under the name Streptomyces rimosus. The record is from RNAcentral. Lineage: Bacteria; Bacillati; Actinomycetota; Actinomycetes; Kitasatosporales; Streptomycetaceae.